Long non-coding RNA from Sinocyclocheilus rhinocerous, 354 nucleotides. RefSeq lists it as uncharacterized. The transcript has 3 exons. Lineage: Eukaryota; Metazoa; Chordata; Actinopteri; Cypriniformes; Cyprinidae. The record is from RefSeq and is a predicted model, not a curated record.
GAAGGUUCCUCGGGGUCUCACUCCAGCUCUGGACCCCAGCGACCCGUUUGCAGAUGAAGCAAGAAGAGCGGCAAGAAGUCGAGGCUCUGGCCAGGAAAUUUGAGAGCAAAUAUGGAAGCACAGUUAAGAAGAAGAGACGAGACCGGAUGCAGGAUCUCGAUGAAACGGCUAUGAUGAAACGGAUCCGUUUAUCGACAACUCUGAGGCCUAUGACGAGCUCGUUCCCGCGUCUCUGACCACUAAACUGGGCGGUUUCUACAUCAACACCGGCACGCUGCAGUUCAGGGCCGCGUCUGAAUCCGAGGGAGAAGACGGCAGAAAAGACGCCAACCGCUUCAAGGUGAUCAUCUUCAU